RNAcentral lists this ribosomal RNA (396 nucleotides) under uncultured bacterium. Its description in RNAcentral is "partial 16S ribosomal RNA". It matches the Rfam family "Bacterial small subunit ribosomal RNA", at positions 523 to 918 of the family's 1533-position model. The record is from RNAcentral.
AUACGAAGGGUGCAAGCGUUAAUCGGAAUUACUGGGCGUAAAGCGCGCGUAGGUGGUUCGUUAAGUUGGAUGUGAAAGCCCCGGGCUCAACCUGGGAACUGCAUCCAAAACUGGCGAGCUAGAGUAUGGCAGAGGGUGGGGGAAUUUCCUGUGUAGCGGUGAAAUGCGUAGAUAUAGGAAGGAACACCAGUGGCGAAGGCGACCACCUGGGCUAAUACGGACACUGAGGUGCGAAAGCGUGGGGAGCAAACAGGAUGAGAUACCCUGGUAGUCCACGCCGUAAACGAUGUCGACUAGCCGUUGGGAUCCUUGAGAUCUUAGUGGCGCAGCUAACGCAUUAAGUCGACCGCCUGGGGAGUACGGCCGCAAGGUUAAAACUCAAAUGAAUUGACGGGG